Molecule: ribosomal RNA, 279 nt
Filed under: uncultured bacterium
Lineage: Bacteria
Description: partial 16S ribosomal RNA
Rfam family: Bacterial small subunit ribosomal RNA
Source: RNAcentral
UGCCAGCCGCCGCGGUAACACGGAGGGUGCAAGCGUUAAUCGGAAUUACUGGGCGUAAAGCGCGCGUAGGUGGCCAAGUCAGUCAGAUGUGAAAGCCCUGGGCUCAACCUGGGAACUGCAUCUGAUACUGCUUGGCUAGAGUAUGGUAGAGGGGUGUGGAAUUUCCUGUGUAGCGGUGAAAUGCGUAGAUAUAGGAAGGAACACCGGUGGCGAAGGCGACUUCCUGGGCCAAUACUGACGCUGAGGCGCGAAAGCGUGGGUAGCAAACAGGAUUAGAUA